RNAcentral lists this ribosomal RNA (451 nucleotides) under uncultured organism. Its description in RNAcentral is "partial 16S ribosomal RNA". It matches the Rfam family "Bacterial small subunit ribosomal RNA", at positions 334 to 801 of the family's 1533-position model. The record is from RNAcentral.
CACUCCUGCGGGAGGCAGCAGUGGGGAAUAUUGGACCAUGGGCGCAAGCCUGAUCCAGCCAUGCCGCGUGAGUGAUGAAGGCCCUAGGGUUGUAAAGCUCUUUCACCGGUGAAGAUAAUGACGGUAACCGGAGAAGAAGCCCCGGCUAACUUCGUGCCAGCAGCCGCGGUAAUACGAAGGGGGCUAGCGUUGUUCGGAUUUACUGGGCGUAAAGCGCACGUAGGCGGACUAUUAAGUCAGGGGUGAAAUCCCGGGGCUCAACCCCGGAACUGCCUUUGAUACUGGUAGUCUUGAGUUCAAGAGAGGUGAGUGGAAUUCCGAGUGUAGAGGUGAAAUUCGUAGAUAUUCGGAGGAACACCAGUGGCGAAGGCGGCUCACUGGCUCGAUACUGACGCUGAGGUGCGAAAGCGUGGGGAGCAAACAGGAUUAGAAACCCCAGUAGUCCCAUGAU